AAUGUCUACAACAAAACGUGACAUCACUGGAUGUAAGAGACCAAUUGAAAGCAAUGGUUCCGUAUAUGGCCCGAAAAAAAAACGGAACGGAAACAGAAUGAAAAUCCGUUUGUGUGCAAAAGGCCUAAAUGUGUCGAGCACAGCUAAAAAACUGGGGGUCAUUUACGACAGGCGCUGCACCCUUUUUUGCCAUUAAAAAUGUUGAAAGACCCCGCUUUACAAAUUUAAA
Long non-coding RNA from Bufo gargarizans (Asiatic toad), 229 nucleotides. RefSeq lists it as uncharacterized. NCBI's taxonomy places the organism in Eukaryota, Metazoa, Chordata, Amphibia, Anura, Bufonidae. The record is from RefSeq and is a predicted model, not a curated record. The transcript is spliced from 2 exons.